Capra hircus (goat) is the source of this 1599-nucleotide RNA transcript. It is a transcript of the gene named solute carrier family 25 member 39 pseudogene, with no coding region annotated. NCBI's taxonomy places the organism in Eukaryota, Metazoa, Chordata, Mammalia, Artiodactyla, Bovidae. The transcript has a single exon. The record is from RefSeq and is a predicted model, not a curated record.
CGGCCUCGGCGCCGAGUGAGCGCGCGCGGAGCCCGCACCGGCGGCGGAGCCGCUAUGGGUCCGCCAGGCCCCGGGCACCGCGCCGCUCGAGCACCGGCCUAGAGCCAGAACUGAAGCUACAAGAUGGCUGACCAGGACCCAGGGGGCAUUAGCCCCCUCCAACAAAUGGUGGCAUCUGGCGCGGGGGCUGUGGUCACCUCCCUCUUCAUGACCCCCCUGGAUGUGGUGAAGGUACGCUUGCAGUCUCAGCGCCCUUCAGUGGCCAAUGAGCUGAUGCCUCCCUCCAGACUCUGGAGCCUCUCCUACGCCAAACUGCCCUCCUCUCUCCGAUCCACAGGGAAGUGCCUCCUGUACUGCAGUGGUGUCCUAGAGCCCCUCUACCUGUGCCCAAAUGGUGCUCGCUGUGCCACCUGGUUUCAGGACCCCACUCGCUUCACUGGUACCAUGGAUGCUUUUGUGAAGAUUGUGCGACAUGAGGGUACCAGGACCCUGUGGAGCGGCCUCCCAGCCCCCCUGGUGAUGACUGUGCCAGCCACUGCCUCCUACUUCACCGCCUACGACCAACUCAAGGCCUUCCUGUGUGGUCGAGCCCUGACCUCUGACCUCUACGCUCCCAUGGUGGCUGGCGUACUGGCUCGCCUGGGCACCGUGACUGUGAUCAGCCCCCUAGAGCUGGUGCGGACAAAGCUGCAGGCUCAGCACCUAUCAUACCGGGAGCUGGGCACCUGUGUCCAAGCAGCUGUGGCUCAGGGUGGCUGGCACUCACUCUGGCUGGGCUGGGGUCCCACUGCCCUUCGGGAUGUGCCCUUCUCAGCUCUGUACUGGUUCAACUAUGAGCUGGUGAAGAGCUGGCUGAGUGGGCUCAGGCCAAAGGACCAGACCUCCGUGGGCAUCAGCUUUGUCGCUGGCGGCAUCUCAGGGAUGGUGGCAGCCACCCUGACUUUACCCUUCAACGUGGUGAAGACUCAGUGCCAGGUCGCGCUAGGAGCAGUGGAGGCUGUGAGAGUGAUGCCCCCGCACACCGACUCCACGUGGCUGCUGCUCCGGAGGAUCCUGGCUGAGUCAGGCACCAGGGGCCUCUUUGCAGGCUUCCUCCCGAGGAUCAUCAAGGCUGCCCCUUCCUGGGCCAUCAUGAUCAGCGCUUAUGAGUUCGGCAAAAGCUUCUUCCAGAGGCUCAACAGGGAACAGCUUCUGAGCCCUUGAAAGGAGCGAGGGGACAAGGACCCUACCUCUUCCAUGGACAGGGUGGGGCAGGAGGAGACUGAGCCAAGUGCCUUUUCCUUCAGCACUGAGGGGAGGGGCCUCAUUUCUCUUUCCUCCCCACUCAGCCCCAGGGGUAGGGGAAUGCCCCUCUGCACCCACCCAGAGCACCCCACCAACCCCCGACUGCUUCCUGCUGUUCCCCAUUCCCCGGCCCUGAGAAUCAUCACUCUCUCCCCUCAAGUUCAAGACCAAAUCUGCUCACUUCUCCCCUCAUUUCCCUGUGGGUUUGCUGUAAGUGAGCCUAGGAGCUCUAGGAGCCACAAAACCCUGGGCCUGGCGUAGUCUGCACCCACUCCUGUUAAUUUGUUGAGUCUAAAGAUGAUAAACUUCUUUCCA